Molecule: ribosomal RNA, 406 nt
Filed under: Phaenonotum sp. MF1065
Lineage: Eukaryota; Metazoa; Arthropoda; Insecta; Coleoptera; Hydrophilidae
Description: partial 16S ribosomal RNA
Source: RNAcentral
AAAAUCACGCUGUUAUCCCUAAGGUAAUUUAUUCUUAUAAUCAAAAUAAUUGGAUCAAUUAAUCGUAAAUUAAAGUAAUAAAAAUUAAAAGUUAAUUAAAUUUUAAAGUCACCCCAACCCAAUAAUAGCACCUAUAAAAUAAAAUAUUCUUUUCUAUAUUUAUAAAACUAAUAUUAAACUCUAUAGGGUCUUCUCGUCUUAUAAAAAUAUUUAAGCUUUUUAACUCAAAAAUAAAGUUCUCCACAAAUAAAAUAAACAAAGUAACUUUCUCAUCCAACCAUUCAUACAAGUUUCUAAUCAAGAAACUAAUGAUUACGCUACCUUCGUACAGUUAAAAUACCGCAGCCAUUAAAAUAAUCAUUGGGCAGGUUAAACCUUUCAAAAUUAACAAAAAGGCCAUGUUUUU